GGGACACGUGGUAUCCUGUCUGAAUAUGGGGGGACCAUCCUCCAAGGCUAAAUACUCCUGACUGACCGAUAGUGAACCAGUACCGUGAGGGAAAGGCGAAAAGAACCCCGGCGAGGGGAGUGAAAAAGAACCUGAAACCGUGUACGUACAAGCAGUGGGAGCACCUUCGGGUGUGACUGCGUACCUUUUGUAUAAUGGGUCAGCGACUUAUAUUCUGUAGCAAGGUUAACCGUAUAGGGGAGCCGCAGGGAAACCGAGUCUUAACUGGGCGUUAAGUUGCAGGGUAUAGACCCGAAACCCGGUGAUCUAGCCAUGGGCAGGUUGAAGGUUGGGUAACACUAACUGGAGGACCGAACCGACUAAUGUUGAAAAAUUAGCGGAUGACUUGUGGCUGGGGGUGAAAGGCCAAUCAAACCGGGAGAUAGCUGGUUCUCCCCGAAAGCUAUUUAGGUAGCGCCUCGUGAACUCAUCUUCGGGGGUAGAGCACUGUUUCGGCUAGGGGGUCAUCCCGACUUACCAACCCGAUGCAAACUACGAAUACCGAAGAAUGUUAUCACGGGAGACACACGGCGGGUGCUAACGUCCGUCGUGAAGAGGGAAACAACCCAGACCGCCAGCUAAGGUCCCAAAGUCAUGGUUAAGUGGGAAACGAUGUGGGAAGGCACAGACAGCCAGGAUGUUGGCUUAGAAGCAGCCAUCAUUUAAAGAAAGCGUAAUAGCUCACUGGUCGAGUCGGCCUGCGCGGAAGAUGUAACGGGGCUAAACCAUGCACCGAAGCUGCGGCAGCGACACUAUGUGUUGUUGGGUAGGGGAGCGUUCUGUAAGCCUGCGAAGGUGUGCUGUGAGGCAUGCUGGAGGUAUCAGAAGUGCGAAUGCUGACAUAAGUAACGAUAAAGCGGGUGAAAAGCCCGCUCGCCGGAAGACCAAGGGUUCCUGUCCAACGUUAAUCGGGGCAGGGUGAGUCGACCCCUAAGGCGAGGCCGAAAGGCGUAGUCGAUGGGAAACAGGUUAAUAUUCCUGUACUUGGUGUUACUGCGAAGGGGGGACGGAGAAGGCUAUGUUAGCCGGGCGA
This 1072-nucleotide ribosomal RNA is filed under the name Klebsiella pneumoniae. RNAcentral describes it as "partial 23S ribosomal RNA". It matches the Rfam family "Bacterial large subunit ribosomal RNA", at positions 419 to 1498 of the family's 2925-position model. RNAcentral also lists the same sequence under 1 other name. Lineage: Bacteria; Pseudomonadati; Pseudomonadota; Gammaproteobacteria; Enterobacterales; Enterobacteriaceae. The record is from RNAcentral.